GCUCUCUGGGUGGCGAGUGGCGGACGGGUGAGGAAUACAUCGGAAUCUACCUUUUCGUGGGGGAUAACGUAGGGAAACUUACGCUAAUACCGCAUACGACCUUAGGGUGAAAGCGGAGGACCUUCGGGCUUCGCGCGGAUAGAUGAGCCGAUGUCGGAUUAGCUAGUUGGCGGGGUAAAGGCCCACCAAGGCGACGAUCCGUAGCUGGUCUGAGAGGAUGAUCAGCCACACUGGAACUGAGACACGGUCCAGACUCCUACGGGAGGCAGCAGUGGGGAAUAUUGGACAAUGGGCGCAAGCCUGAUCCAGCCAUGCCGCGUGGGUGAAGAAGGCCUUCGGGUUGUAAAGCCCUUUUGUUGGGAAAGAAAAGCAGUCGGUUAAUACCCGAUUGUUCUGACGGUACCCAAAGAAUAAGCACCGGCUAACUUCGUGCCAGCAGCCGCGGUAAUACGAAGGGUGCAAGCGUUACUCGGAAUUACUGGGCGUAAAGCGUGCGUAGGUGGUUGUUUAAGUCCGUUGUGAAAGCCCUGGGCUCAACCUGGGAAUUGCAGUGGAUACUGGGCAACUAGAGUGUGGUAGAGGAUGGCGGAAUUCCCGGUGUAGCAGUGA
Molecule: ribosomal RNA, 609 nt
Filed under: Xanthomonas sp. EECC-290
Lineage: Bacteria; Pseudomonadati; Pseudomonadota; Gammaproteobacteria; Lysobacterales; Lysobacteraceae
Description: bacterial SSU rRNA
Rfam family: Bacterial small subunit ribosomal RNA
Source: RNAcentral